Nerophis ophidion (straightnose pipefish) is the source of this 1262-nucleotide long non-coding RNA. RefSeq lists it as uncharacterized. The transcript is spliced from 3 exons. NCBI's taxonomy places the organism in Eukaryota, Metazoa, Chordata, Actinopteri, Syngnathiformes, Syngnathidae. The record is from RefSeq and is a predicted model, not a curated record.
UCAGAAGAUUAUAAAAACGCGUUUAACACCUGCUCGGCUCGUCAAAGGCUGCAUAAACACAUUCAAAUGCGAAAUUUAUUUCACUGUGUUCUUUAUUCCUCGUAUAUUUCGUGGUGUUUUCGCUUGUUUCAUUGUGUAGCUUCGCUAAAGGAAGUGCUUUUAUUUUGACACCGGAGGUUUAUUUUGAAAUGUGGUAAAAACAGGAAGUCGGUGCGAUCUCGCUUACGAUGACUUUACAGGAAAGUUUUUGACGUCGGAGAGCGUAAAAAAACAACAACUUAUUAAACAGCUCAUUCCUGGCUGAAAGGACAUAAAGAUUGUUUUCUUCUGCGCCAUCAACUUCUCUGCUGACCCGUCCCGCAGGUCAACACGCCCAGGGAGAGUCUAAGCGCUGGACUUGGUUCCUGUCCGCCAACUUUCCGGACGCGGAGCAUGCGGGACUGCAACAACAGUGGGAGGUGUCCUGUCCCUCACGCGGGUGCUCAGGAGGCGGGGCCAUAGAGUGGGGAGCCACACCCACUGAGUGGGGAGCAGCCAGCUGGCUGGUAGGAGUAAUAAAGAAGGAGAAUCAAUAGGGCAUGCAAUGGAGCCAAGGUGCUGCCAUUCAUCACGCCGCCUCCCUGACUCCCAUCAUUCAUCAUGCUCAACGAGGCAGCAAAUAGGAAAAUGACUAUUUGUAUCAAACACAUCUGCACUCAUCCACCCAGGUAUUUUAUUCCCAUUAACUCUGCCAGUAAAAUACGCUUCUUGUUGUUUUUCCUCGCCGUGACUCCCCCCCCCACCCCCAUUUUUGUUCCAUCCUCACGUUUUUAUGAGGCUUCCUCCGAACAUCUCCGCCACGCCCACCUUAACGACGUGUCUCGCCGACGUCUUCAUUCCCCGGACCUGAGCAAAACAGAAAUCCAUCCAUAAAUCUGAAACGCUGCACGGCUGCUUAUCCCCGCCUCCUGCCUCAUAAAUUCCCCGGGUUAAGAUGGCGGCGGACGGGCAUGCAAAUAAGGCGCGCUAUCAUCAUGAUAGCGCAACGCCCCAUGAAACGGCGGCAUCAUUACCGUCCUUGGCGCCCAAACGACUCUGCGGCCUUCAGGCGGUGACCCCGCCCCCUUUCGAGCUUCUGAGAGUCUCCUAACCUGGUGUCACACACUUGGCUUGUUCUAGAGCUCCACAUUCAUUAGCAUUUUUAAAAAUCAAUACAGACUUAAGAAAAAAAUGACACCUCCACCUGUCUUUGAUAUUUUUAUUGCCCAACUAAAAAAAAUUGU